Molecule: ribosomal RNA, 253 nt
Filed under: uncultured bacterium
Lineage: Bacteria
Description: partial 16S ribosomal RNA
Rfam family: Bacterial small subunit ribosomal RNA
Source: RNAcentral
GACGUAGGGGGCCAGCGUUGUUCGGAAUUACUGGGUGUAAAGGGUUCGUAGGCGGUGCGGCAAGUUGGGAGUGAAAUCUCUGGGCUCAACCCAGAGGCUGCUUCCAAAACUGCCGUGCUUGAGUGUGGGAGAGGCGCGUGGAAUUGCAGGUGUAGCGGUGAAAUGCGUAGAUAUCUGCAGGAACACCCGUGGCGAAGGCGGCGCGCUGGUCCACUACUGCCGCUGAGGCACGAAAGCUAGGGGAGCAAACAGU